RNAcentral lists this ribosomal RNA (274 nucleotides) under uncultured bacterium. RNAcentral describes it as "partial 16S ribosomal RNA". It matches the Rfam family "Bacterial small subunit ribosomal RNA", at positions 523 to 796 of the family's 1533-position model. The record is from RNAcentral.
AUACGGAGGGCGCUAGCGUUGUUCGGAAUUACUGGGCGUAAAGCGUACGUAGGCGGACUGAUCAGUUGGGGGCGAAAUCCCAGGGCUUAACCCUGGAACUGCCUUCAAUACUGUCAGUCUUGAGAUUGGAAGAGGUGAGUGGAAUUCCUAGUGUAGACGUGAAAUUCAUAGAUAUUAGGAGGAACACCAGUGGCGAAGGCGGCUCACUGGUCCAAUACUGACGCUGAGGUACGAAAGCGUGGGGAGCAAACAGGAUUAGAAACCCCAGUAGUCC